UACGGAGGAGGCAAGCGUUAUCCGGAAUUAUUGGGCGUAAAGGGUACGUAGGCGGCUGGUCAAGUCUGGGGUCAAAGGCCACAGCUCAACUGUGGGAAGGCCCUGGAAACUGACCGGCUAGAGUGAGGUAGGGGUUGCGGGAAUUCCCGGUGUAGCGGUGAAAUGCGUAGAGAUCGGGAAGAACACCUGAGGCGGAAGCGCGCAACUGGGCCUCAACUGACGCUGAGGUACGAAAGCUAGUGGAGCGAAGGGG
RNAcentral lists this ribosomal RNA (253 nucleotides) under uncultured bacterium. Its description in RNAcentral is "partial 16S ribosomal RNA". It matches the Rfam family "Bacterial small subunit ribosomal RNA", at positions 524 to 776 of the family's 1533-position model. The record is from RNAcentral.